This 925-nucleotide ribosomal RNA is filed under the name uncultured fungus. Its description in RNAcentral is "eukaryotic LSU rRNA". The stretch from base 286 to 925 matches the Rfam family "Eukaryotic large subunit ribosomal RNA", at positions 1 to 664 of the family's 3401-position model. Lineage: Eukaryota; Fungi. The record is from RNAcentral.
AUCGAUGAAGAACGCAGCGAAAUGCGAUAAGUAAUGUGAAUUGCAGAAUUCAGCGAAUCAUCGAAUUUUUGAACGCACAUUGCGCCUCAGAGUAUUCUUUGAGGCAUACCUGUUCGAGCGUCGUUUAGACCAUAAGGCUUUGCCUUGCGUUGAUUGUUCUGGAGUGAUCCAGCGAUCUAAACAUGUUGGCGUCGUAGUUUGACCAAGACACAGCACAAUGUGACACUGAUUCAGACUUGCGAUUUGCUAUUAUCCAAACGACUGUCUUUCACGAAGACGUAGGUUCGACCUCGGAUCAGGUAAGACUACCCACUGAACUUAAGCAUAUCAAUAAGUGGAGGAAAAGAAACCAACAGGGAUUGCCUCAGUAACGGCGAGUGAAGCGGCAAAAGCUCAAAUUUGAAAUCUGGUCCUAGACCCGAGUUGUAAUUUGUAGAGGAAUGUUCGGCGACGCCUAGGUCUGAGUCUUCUGGAAGGAAGCGCCUUUGAGGGUGAGAGCCCCGUAGGACUGAUGGCUGAACCAUGUGUACAUCCUUCGACGAGUCGAGUUGUUUGGGAAUGCAGCUCAAAACGGGUGGUAAAUUCCAUCUAAAGCUAAAUAUUGGCCAGAGACCGAUAGCGCACAAGUAGAGUGAUCGAAAGAUGAAAAGCACUUUGGAAAGAGAGUGAAACAGUACGUGAAAUUGUUGAAAGGGAAGCGCUAGCGACCAGAUUUGGAAAUGACAUUCAGCGGUUCGCGUGGACCGUGUACUUUGUCUUUUACUUGCCAGCAUCAGUUUUCGGGGUUGGAUAAAAGCUUUGGGAACGUAGCUCUGCUUCGGUCGAGUGUUAUAGCCCUUUGCACAAUACAGCCACUGAAGACUGAGGAACGCCUUUUUGUAGGAUGCUGGCGUAAUGGUUGCUAGCGGCCCGUCUUGAAACACGG